AAUGGAUCACAGGUCACAGGCAAAAAAAAUCGAACGGCAAUGCGAAUGCGAAUUUAAGUGGAAAUGGCAAGAGGGAGAAUAGGUGGAGGGAGAGGCCAUGUUGGAGGAUUGGAAUGCUCUGUUAAUCAUUUAACUCAAUUAGAUAUAAUUAGGUUGGGUUUCCAUUUUUUGUGGUCCGUUUUGUUUUGUGCAUUUUGAAUGAAGUCGCC
Molecule: long non-coding RNA, 209 nt
Filed under: Drosophila guanche
Lineage: Eukaryota; Metazoa; Arthropoda; Insecta; Diptera; Drosophilidae
Source: RNAcentral